AGGUUAAAUAUUGAAUAUAGUUAACAUUCACCUUCCACUCUGAGGAGGCUGGCAUUUUCACCGGUUUGUGAACACUCUCGCUUUGGCUUCCCAGGACUCACAGCAGCUGGAAGACACACACAACCUUGAAAACAAGAGCUGGCUGUGAAGAAGAAAAGCCCUAGCACCUAUCAUUCUACUAUCAUCAGACUCUUGUUCCUUUGUAUACAGUGUCUGUUCCUAAGGCUGCUCUCAUAAGCUCAGCGGUCAAACUGUUCCCACUGGACUUUCUUUCUUUGUUAUCCCUUCUAGCCAACUGUCAACGGGUUGCCAGCUCUAACUAGUAGCAAAGAAAUGAGCCACAGUGGACACUUCAGCAAAAGAGGUAUCUUUUGGGUAAUAAAAUGCCUGUCCUUCUUUCA
Molecule: long non-coding RNA, 401 nt
Organism: Mastomys coucha (southern multimammate mouse)
Lineage: Eukaryota; Metazoa; Chordata; Mammalia; Rodentia; Muridae
Exons: 2
Source: RefSeq, a predicted model, not a curated record